UGCACAUGUGAUGAGCAUCUAGGGACUUAAUACUGAAAAGAUUUGCUGAUUUGUUUGCUCUGAUGUGC
Molecule: small nucleolar RNA, 68 nt
Organism: Colossoma macropomum (tambaqui)
Lineage: Eukaryota; Metazoa; Chordata; Actinopteri; Characiformes; Serrasalmidae
Product: small nucleolar RNA SNORD82
Exons: 1
Source: RefSeq, a predicted model, not a curated record